CCUACGGGUGGCAGCAGUGGGGAAUAUUGCACAAUGGGGGAAACCCUGAUGCAGCGACGCCGCGUGAGUGAAGAAGUAUUUCGGUAUGUAAAGCUCUAUCAGCAGGGAAGAAAAUGACGGUACCUGAUGAAGAAGCCCCGGCUAACGACGUGCCAGCAGCCGCGGUAAGACGGAGGGGGCAAGCGUUAUCCGGAUUUACUGGGUGUAAGGGGAGCGUAGACGGCAGCACAAGUCUGGAGUGAAAUGCCGGGGCUUAACCCCGGAACCGCUUUGGAAACUGGGCAGCUAGAGUGCAGGAGAGGUAAGUGGCAUUCCUAGUGUAGCGGUGAAAUGCGUCGAUAUUAGGAGGAACACCAGUGGCGAGGGCGGCUUACUGGACUGUAACUGACGUUGCGGCUCGAACGCGUGGGGAGCAAACAGGAUUAGAUACCCUAGUAGUC
Molecule: ribosomal RNA, 440 nt
Filed under: uncultured bacterium
Lineage: Bacteria
Description: partial 16S ribosomal RNA
Rfam family: Bacterial small subunit ribosomal RNA
Source: RNAcentral